ACUCAAAGGAAUUGACGGGGCCCCGCACAAGCAGCGGAGCGUGUGGUUUAAUUCGAUGCAACGCGAAGAACCUUACCUAGGCUUGACAUGGGCUUGUAAAGGCUGGAAACAGUCUCCUCUUCGGACAAGUUCACAGAUGUUGCAUGGCUGUCGUCAGCUCGUGUCGUGAGAUGUUGGGUUAAGUCCCGCAACGAGCGCAACCCUCGUGGCUAGUUGAACUGCUCUAGCCAGACCGCCUACUAAAUAGGAGGAAGGUGGGGAUGACGUCAAGUCCGCAUGGCUCUUACGUCUAGGGCUACACACACGCUACAAUGGCCGGAACAGAGCGCAGCAAGCGUGCGAACGCAAGCAAAUCGCGAAAACCGGUCUCAGUUCGGAUUGCAGGCUGCAACUCGCCUGCAUGAAGUCGGAGUUGCUAGUAACCGCGCGUCAGCACAGUGCGGUGAAUAUGUUCCCGGGGCUUGCACACACCGCCCGU
This 478-nucleotide ribosomal RNA is filed under the name uncultured bacterium. Its description in RNAcentral is "partial 16S ribosomal RNA". It matches the Rfam family "Bacterial small subunit ribosomal RNA", at positions 899 to 1397 of the family's 1533-position model. The record is from RNAcentral.